Molecule: microRNA precursor, 83 nt
Organism: Poecilia formosa (Amazon molly)
Lineage: Eukaryota; Metazoa; Chordata; Actinopteri; Cyprinodontiformes; Poeciliidae
Source: Ensembl
CAUCAGUCUAGCAGAAUCCUUUCUGCACAAACUAGGACGCUUUGACACUCAGUGUGCGGAAAUGCUUCUGCUCAACUGGUGGG